GAUGAACGCUGGCGGCGUGCCUAAUACAUGCAAGUCGAGCGAACGGACGAGAAGCUUGCUUCUCUGAUGUUAGCGGCGGACGGGUGAGUAACACGUGGAUAACCUACCUAUAAGACUGGGAUAACUUCGGGAAACCGGAGCUAAUACCGGAUAAUAUUUUGAACCGCAUGGUUCAAAAGUGAAAGACGGUUUUGCUGUCACUUAUAGAUGGAUCCGCGCUGCAUUAGCUAGUUGGUAAGGUAACGGCUUACCAAGGCAACGAUGCAUAGCCGACCUGAGAGGGUGAUCGGCCACACUGGAACUGAGACACGGUCCAGACUCCUACGGGAGGCAGCAGUAGGGAAUCUUCCGCAAUGGGCGAAAGCCUGACGGAGCAACGCCGCGUGAGUGAUGAAGGUCUUCGGAUCGUAAAACUCUGUUAUUAGGGAAGAACAUAUGUGUAAGUAACUGUGCACAUCUUGACGGUACCAAAUCAGAAAGCCACGGCUAACUACGUG
RNAcentral lists this ribosomal RNA (497 nucleotides) under uncultured bacterium. RNAcentral describes it as "partial 16S ribosomal RNA". It matches the Rfam family "Bacterial small subunit ribosomal RNA", at positions 28 to 507 of the family's 1533-position model. The record is from RNAcentral.